CCUACGGGAGGCAGCAGUGGGGAAUUUUGCGCAAUGCUCGUAAGAGUGACGCAGCGACGUCGCGUGAAUGAUGAAGGCCUUCGGGUCGUAAAGUUCUUUCUACAGGGAAGAAAAUGCCUACAAGUAACUCUGUUUGUAUUUACGGUACCUGUAUAAGCAGCCUCGGGUAACUCCGUGCCAGCCGCCGCGGUAAUUCGGAGGGGGCGUGCGUUGUUCGGUUUGACUGGGCGUAAAGAGCACGUAGGUGGUGUUGUAAGUCAUUAGUCAAAGUGUAGAGCUCAAAUUGAGUAAGGCAAGUGAUACUAUAAUACUAGAGUAUCAGAGAGGAUUGCAGAAUUCGUGGGGUAGCGGUGAAAUGCGUAGAUAUCAGGAGGAAUACCGUUAGCGAAGGCAGCAAUCUGGCUGGAAACUGACGCUGAGGUGCGAAAGCGUGGGUAGCAAACAGGAUUAGAUACCCCUGUAGUC
RNAcentral lists this ribosomal RNA (465 nucleotides) under uncultured bacterium. RNAcentral describes it as "partial 16S ribosomal RNA". It matches the Rfam family "Bacterial small subunit ribosomal RNA", at positions 338 to 795 of the family's 1533-position model. The record is from RNAcentral.